GAUGAAGAACGUAGCGAAAUGCGAUAAGUAAUGUGAAUUGCAGAAUUCAGUGAAUCAUCGAAUCUUUGAACGCACAUUGCGCCCUCUGGUAUUCCGGGGGGCAUGCCUGUUCGAGCGUCAUUAUAACCACUCAAGCUCUCGCUUGGUAUUGGAGUUCGCGAUCUCGCGGCUCCUAAAAUCAGUGGCGGUGCCUGUCGGCUCUACGCGUAGUAAUACUCCUCGCGAUUGAGUCCGGUAGGUUUACCUGCCAGCAACCCCCAAUUUUUACAGGUUGACCUCGGAUCAGGUAGGGAUACCCGCUGAACUUAAGCAUAUCAAUAAGCGGAGGA
This 329-nucleotide unclassified non-coding RNA is filed under the name soil metagenome. RNAcentral describes it as "partial contains 5.8S ribosomal RNA, internal transcribed spacer 2, and large subunit ribosomal RNA". The stretch from base 1 to 120 matches the Rfam family "5.8S ribosomal RNA", at positions 35 to 154 of the family's 154-position model. The record is from RNAcentral.